AUUAGGCCAUCUGGCAGGGGUCC
Molecule: unclassified non-coding RNA, 23 nt
Filed under: Mus musculus (house mouse)
Lineage: Eukaryota; Metazoa; Chordata; Mammalia; Rodentia; Muridae
Description: oocyte_clustered_small_RNA3747
Source: RNAcentral